Molecule: ribosomal RNA, 431 nt
Filed under: uncultured bacterium
Lineage: Bacteria
Description: bacterial SSU rRNA
Rfam family: Bacterial small subunit ribosomal RNA
Source: RNAcentral
AGAGUUUGAUCCUGGCUCAGGACGAACGCUGGCGGCAUGCCUAAUACAUGCAAGUCGAGCGGAAUGAUGAGAGCUUGCUCUCUGAUUUUAGCGGCGGACGGGUGAGUAACACGUGGGCAACCUGCCCUACAGAUGGGGAUAACUCCGGGAAACCGGGGCUAAUACCGAAUAAUCAGUUUGUCCGCAUGGACGAACUCUGAAAGACGGUUUCGGCUGUCACUGUAGGAUGGGCCCGCGGCGCAUUAGCUAGUUGGUGGGGUAAUGGCCUACCAAGGCGACGAUGCGUAGCCGACCUGAGAGGGUGAUCGGCCACACUGGGACUGAGACACGGCCCAGACUCCUACGGGAGGCAGCAGUAGGGAAUCUUCCACAAUGGACGAAAGUCUGAUGGAGCAAUGCCGCGUGAGCGAAGAAGGUUUUCGGAUCGUAAA